This 777-nucleotide ribosomal RNA is filed under the name uncultured bacterium. RNAcentral's name for it is "bacterial SSU rRNA". It matches the Rfam family "Bacterial small subunit ribosomal RNA", at positions 8 to 796 of the family's 1533-position model. The record is from RNAcentral.
AGAGUUUGAUCAUGGCUCAGGACGAACGCUGGCGGCGUGCUUAACACAUGCAAGUCGAACGGUGACCUCGGAGCUUGCUCCGGGUGAUCAGUGGCGAACGGGUGAGUAACACGUGAGUAACCUGCCCCAGACUCUGGGAUAACCCCGGGAAACCGGAGCUAAUACCGGAUACGACACGAAGAGGCAUCUCUAUCGUGUGGAAAGUUUUUCGGUCUGGGAUGGACUCGCGGCCUAUCAGCUAGUUGGUGAGGUAACGGCUCACCAAGGCGACGACGGGUAGCCGGCCUGAGAGGGCGACCGGCCACACUGGGACUGAGACACGGCCCAGACUCCUACGGGAGGCAGCAGUGGGGAAUAUUGCACAAUGGGCGAAAGCCUGAUGCAGCGACGCCGCGUGGGGGAUGACGGCCUUCGGGUUGUAAACCCCUUUCAGCAGGGAAGAAGCGAAAGUGACGGUACCUGCAGAAGAAGCACCGGCUAACUACGUGCCAGCAGCCGCGGUAAUACGUAGGGUGCGAGCGUUGUCCGGAAUUAUUGGGCGUAAAGAGCUUGUAGGCGGUCUGUCGCGUCUGCUGUGAAAAUCCGGGGCUCAACCCCGGACUUGCAGUGGGUACGGGCAGACUAGAGUGUGGUAGGGGAGACUGGAAUUCCUGGUGUAGCGGUGAAAUGCGCAGAUAUCAGGAGGAACACCGAUGGCGAAGGCAGGUCUCUGGGCCACUACUGACGCUGAGAAGCGAAAGCAUGGGGAGCGAACAGGAUUAGAUACCCUAGUAGUCC